AUUGAACGCUGGCGGCAUGCCUUACACAUGCAAGUCGAACGGCAGCACGGGAGCAAUCCUGGUGGCGAGUGGCGAACGGGUGAGUAAUGUAUCGGAACGUGCACAGUCGUGGGGGAUAACGUAGCGAAAGCUACGCUAAUACCGCAUACGAUCUAUGGAUGAAAGCGGGGGAUCGCAAGACCUCGCGCGAUUGGAGCGGCCGAUAUCAGAUUAGGUAGUUGGUGGGGUAAAGGCCCACCAAGCCUGCGAUCUGUAGCUGGUCUGAGAGGACGACCAGCCACACUGGAACUGAGACACGGUCCAGACUCCUACGGGAGGCAGCAGUGGGGAACUUUGGACAAUGGGCGCAAGCCUGAUCCAGCAAUGCCGCGUGCAGGAUGAAGGCCUUCGGGUUGUAAACUGCUUUUGUACGGAACGAAACGGCUUCUUCUAAUACAGAGAGCUAAUGACGGUACCGUAAGAAUAAGCACCGGCUAACUACGUGCCAGCAGCCGCGGUAA
RNAcentral lists this ribosomal RNA (500 nucleotides) under uncultured bacterium. RNAcentral's name for it is "partial 16S ribosomal RNA". It matches the Rfam family "Bacterial small subunit ribosomal RNA", at positions 30 to 523 of the family's 1533-position model. The record is from RNAcentral.